RNAcentral lists this ribosomal RNA (460 nucleotides) under uncultured Methylomirabilota bacterium. Its description in RNAcentral is "bacterial SSU rRNA". It matches the Rfam family "Bacterial small subunit ribosomal RNA", at positions 977 to 1434 of the family's 1533-position model. The record is from RNAcentral. Lineage: Bacteria; Methylomirabilota (SeqCode).
GGGCUUGACAUCCCACGAACCUGCCCGAAAGGGUAGGGUGCCCGCAAGGGAGCGUGGAGACAGGUGGUGCAUGGCUGUCGUCAGCUCGUGUCGUGAGGUGUUGGGUUAAGUCCCGCAACGAGCGCAACCCUCACCCCUUGUUGCCACCGGGUUAUGCUGAGCACUCUAGGGGAACUGCCAGCGUCAAGCUGGAGGAAGGCGGGGAUGACGUCAAGUCAUCAUGCCCCUUACGCCCUGGGCGACACACGUGCUACAAUGGCUGGUACAAAGGGAUGCAAGACCGCGAGGUGGAGCUAAUCCCAAAAAACCGGUCUAAGUUCAGAUUGCAGUCUGCAACUCGACUGCAUGAAGGAGGAAUCGCUAGUAAUCGCGCAUCAGCACGGCGCGGUGAAUACGUUCCCGGGCCUUGUACACACCGCCCGUCACACCACGAAAGCCGGCUGUACUCGAAGUCGCUGAG